UACAUCCUAUAAGAGAAAAAAUACCGUGGGAUAAUGAAAGCGAAUAUAUUCAUUGAUCAUGCAAGUAAAAGGUUUUUGCAAUGUCACGCGAAGGCAGCCAUAUUGGAUGGAUAGCGGAAGAGUAACUGAAUUUCUGUAUUUGUUUGUCUGACACGUUAAAGAAGGAUGAAAGAACACCAGGUACAUGAACACGACUGUCCUUUUCUUUUCUGCAUCGUAUCACAACCAAUGUUUUCUGCACUUGCCGCGGUUCCACAAAGCUGCCUUGGGAAUCUUAUCCUAUCCACUUGGCCUUCAAUGGAGCGAAUUAUCUUCACUUUUGAGACACGAACCGAUGAAUAUUCGUCGCACCAAAGCAGUAUGAGAAGAAAAACGUGUUUUAAAGUAUAAAAAAUAAGCGCAUUUUGACAGGAAAAAUGAUUAGGUAAUUCCACCAUUUUACACCGAUCUUGAACUACGAGGAACUGAAAUUUACAGAGACAAGCUUGUACCUUAAUACCUUGUUCAUCUCAAUCAAGAAGCUUUCACACCAAAACAAACAUGUAUCCCAAAUGACACAAACCAUAUUUGAUAUUUAUUUCAGUUUCAUACUUUUAAUUGCAGUUUGUUUCUAUAGUUAUUAAUAUAAAACAAAAGAGGUUUACUUUCUCUUAAAAUCGUAAAAUUAGCAAGGCUGAUGUCUGCUAAGAAAUAGCCUGUUUUGUGGUGAAUGAAAUAUUCAUAAAUGCCAAAGGGAGGCAACAUUUAAUGCCAAGGGGCAGGAAGGCAUCAGAUAUACAUGAAACCAAAAGAGUUGAUUUUGUUUAUGUGAAAGGUUUCGAAUCUCACAAAAUGUGGUAAGAAACUCACUGACGGAAUACUAAACCAUUUUCGAAUUCCCUAAUACGGCUGUGUUUCUUGAUUACAGACUCGGUUAAUCAGGUUUAGCCUAGAUCAUUUCGGACUCAAAAUAUUCACAAUACCAACGGUGAAGUAAACUGAGAAUUCACUCGAAUGCACUAGCAUUCUAUUCUAUUGCUUUAGAAUCGAUAAUCGAGACCUUGUCGGCUUGGGCGUAAUGUUUUUCCCAUUUCAUUGUCCAGAUAAUCAUUUCACUCUUUUUCCGUCAACGCCUGAGAAGAUAUAUUAAAAGCACAGGAGUUUCAAUUUAGAUAAUUAAUACCAAAAUAUUCGACCCAAAUUUUAAAAGGCUAUAAGAUUCUGUGCCCGGAUGACAUGUUGGUUAGUGCCUUUUCUAAAGCGUUAUCAAUAAACCGACACACUACAUACUACUCAGGCGAAAAAGACGUGGUGUGGAAUGGAAAAACAGGCCGCAUAAAAUCUGCUUGACCGUCUAUUUAGUUUUCUACUUAAUAAUUUGAUAUUUUUUUUGUAAUCCCUUAUACUUUAUUUGGUAUGGUAACGAUAUAUGCAUAUUUGCGAUUUUAGAUACACAUAGUCUUUUGAUACUUGUAUAAUAAACGUUCGUUUCUAUGCCUAUGUGAAUAAAAAACUUGUUUUAUUGUGUA
Actinia tenebrosa (Australian red waratah sea anemone) is the source of this 1508-nucleotide long non-coding RNA. RefSeq lists it as uncharacterized. The record is from RefSeq and is a predicted model, not a curated record. NCBI's taxonomy places the organism in Eukaryota, Metazoa, Cnidaria, Anthozoa, Actiniaria, Actiniidae.